Molecule: ribosomal RNA, 401 nt
Filed under: uncultured bacterium
Lineage: Bacteria
Description: bacterial SSU rRNA
Rfam family: Bacterial small subunit ribosomal RNA
Source: RNAcentral
GGGGAAUCUUGGACAAUGGGGGCAACCCUGAUCCAGCGAUGCCGCGUGAGCGAAGAAGGCCUUAGGGUUGUAAAGCUCUUUCGCCCGCGACGAUGAUGACGGUAGCGGGAGAAGAAGCCCCGGCUAACUACGUGCCAGCAGCCGCGGUAAUACGUAGGGAGCAAGCGUUGUUCGGCUUUACUGGGCGUAAAGGGCGCGUAGGCGGCGCGGUAAGUCACUUGUGAAAUCUCUGAGCUUAACUCAGAACGGCCAAGUGAUACUGCUGUGCUAGAGUGCGGAAGAGGCAACCGGAAUUCUUGGUGUAGCGGUGAAAUGCGUAGAUAUCAAGAGGAACACCUGAGGCGAAGGCGGGUUGCUGGGCCGACACUGACGCUGAUGCGCGAAAGCCAGGGGAGCAAACG